AUGGAACUUGCACAUACAGAACAAAGUCAGUUUUGUGACGUCUCUUAACUCUUGUCCAGUUUCAUUAACUUUUAUUUUCCUCACCUGUUUCUACUGUCAUUACUAUCAGCCUGGGGACAGGCAUUUUUGAAGCAUUCAUUUUAAUUACAGCACAAUAAGAAUACAGUCCCUUGUGAUACUUAUCAGUGGAAUACUCAACAAAAUUUUAACAUAUUGAAAAUAAAUCCUGUUUAUAGCAUACUGUUUUCCCAACUGUAGAAGAUUUUAACUGUUCAUAUAUCAUGCAUUUACCACCUUUUUAACAUUUAAACAGAGCCUAGAAUUUAUACCCUUUGAUGACUCACCAGUCCCUGCUACUCAGACGUAAUCAUCAUUCAAUAAGAAGCAGAAGUCCUGAGUGAACACAAUUAAUGCUGUAGUGCUGACUGGGGUGGCAGAGCUCAGCAAAGUGGGUUUAAAAAUUCCAGCAUGAUCUAUUCCUAGCAACAGACAUGAUCACUCCUGAACAAGCUGUAUCUGAUCCAUAUAUAUGCAAAGCCAGGUAACAGAGAAAGUGAGAUUGCUGGAUGCUCACUACAGAAGCUCAUUACAAAAGUUUAUGGUAGACUUUUACUGACCCCUUAAUUCUUGAGAAAUGCAACCUUUGUUGAAUUACUGAUUAACCAUUUUCUAGGAGCUUGGGGAAAUGGAACAAAAUAUUUGUAGAACCUGUAUGAGUAGGCUUUGGCACAGAGCCAAAGGCAUAGAGCCAAAGGCACAGAGCCUUUGACAGGCUAACUGUACCAUAUUAUAGUAGGAAAAUACUUCACAGAUCCAUUAGCAAGGAAGUGUCCAAGGAAAAGACUAACUCGUCAGUACUGGGAGCUAUUAGCACACAGUACUACUGGCCUUUUUCUCUGAUGUGGAAGGGUUGAACAUAACAGUCAGAUGCUUGGCCUCACAGCUCUGCAGUUGAUGCCUUUCUGCAAUUAAAUACAGUGAGCUGAUUCUGGCUUCAUCUGUGGGCUUUAGCUGUAAAUGAGAUCGGGCCAUGGCUUGGCAUGUCACUGACCCUCAAGGGCAUCACCAACAUCUCCUUUACUAUUUUGCAUGACCACACUGUUUUGGCACCCCCACUGGAUGCACAGUUGGUGUGUUUAGGAGGUGCAAGCAGGUGUGGUAGCAAUAGGCUGUAGCUUGCUGAAAGGAUUCCCAGGAUUAAGCCUGUUGCCAGCCCAAUCUGGCAUAGGGGGUGUCUGCAAACCCCCUCAAACUGCCUGGAGCCAGCUGUGUGGCUCCUUCACAUGCAUGAGAUUAAGCUGCUCAGAGUUACUUGCACUGAGAUAUGUAACUUAUGCAGUUUAAGGGACCCAAUUUCACCAAGGUUAUACUGAUUUAGCCCUCUUUAUGAUCUGACCAUAUGUAUUUAUUUAAAAUGCUGUCACAUUCAAGGUAUCUUAAAUACCUGUGUGGUCUGUAUUGCCUUUAAGAUGAAAUAAUGUAUCAAAUGGCACAAACUUCAGUACUGGUACUAGGUAUUUAUGGGUGGUGUUGUCCCCUUCAAAUGGAUGCCUGGCAAACAGUAGCUGAAUGAAGUAAAGUGUCUCAGGGAUGAAAAGGGUUUUUUGCAACAAUAAAAUCAUAACACAUCAUUUUCUCAAAGCCUAACUCUGCCAAGGUGCAUUCUAGUCGGGAUGUGAAUGAAAGGCCAGCGAUGACAGAGACAGCUCUGCAGGCUAUAGAAAGGGAAGAAACAGGAAGAUGCUGGUUAGCUAUAGUCAUAACUCCCUCCUGGCAAUCCCUCUCCAGAGACAACAAAGACAGACAGAUGUCCUCAGAGACUGAUUAAUCGUAGGUGUCAAAGAUCCCCUAGAAGAUGGCUCCACAGAUCUGCACUCCAGACAGUUCAGAGAACUGAAUCCUUCCCUCAGUAAAAGCACCCCUUAGAACAGAAAAUAAACUGUUCCUUCAGGAACAAUUUGUGUUCAUUUCUCCUCUCCACAUGCAAACUACAAACCUAGUAUGUGGUCUAUUUGUACCACCUCUGUAUCUGUAUUCCAUUCCCCUUUGCAGCUUGUUCUGUCUCACAUCAUUAGAAGACUGCUGUAAAGAUUACUGCUCCCUAUGUUAAAGUUAAAACAGAACCAGUAAGAAAAAUAUCCUCUGUGAAUCAUAAAUUUUGCUAACACAGUA
Long non-coding RNA from Pseudopipra pipra, 2172 nucleotides. RefSeq lists it as uncharacterized. Lineage: Eukaryota; Metazoa; Chordata; Aves; Passeriformes; Pipridae. The record is from RefSeq and is a predicted model, not a curated record. The transcript is spliced from 2 exons.